GCUGUAGAAGAAAGAAAGAUGGAAUCAAUGGAUCUUUAGGUCAUGUUUGGUUGGAAGGUUUAUGAAUGGAUUCCAACCCAAUUUGGUGGGCCCACCACCAAACAUUAGUUUGGUUGACUGUAAUGUUAUUACAGCCUGAAUUCAUUCACGUUCUAUUACAAGAAAAGGAUGAAUAGUCAUUCCCUUCCUUCAUCACUGAAUUCUUGUACAGUCUCGUGGAGUAAAUUUUUUUUCCCAUUUUCAAUUUUUGCCCUCACCUUUACCCGGAGAGAAUGAAGAAGCUGUAAUGGGAACUAUCAUCUUCUCAUUCGAUCUUACUGGUAACUUUCUUUCCUUUCCAUCUCUACGUUUCCCUUUUUUCUGUCCUUUGAUUGUGGAGGAGACCUAGGUCAAUCUAUUGAAGUUGUUUCAUCAUUCUCAAACAAAUGCGUUAGAAACUUCUAAGAAGAAGAAUAUCUUUGACUAAAAUGUCGGAUACAUCUAUUUGGGUUAUCGGCGAAAAUGGGUCUAUCUAGAAAAGGUUUUGGAAUGCAGUUCAAUAGGUGAUAGCACCAUAUGACUUGCAGAUAUUAACAUGUUGUGCAGUUUAUGUUUUGAUAGUCAACCAAACAAUUUUUGCUAGUUUUGAUGAAGUAAAUCUAUAUCAGGUAACCACAAGCACUAUUGCUUUCAAAUCUACAUUAGAUGAAAGAUGAUGAACUAUAUAAGAUUCUACAGUCCAACAUUUGGUUACUUAUAAAUUCAAAAAAUCAAGUAUUGUUAUAUAAGUAAAGAAACACAAUAGAAUCAAACACCCUACUCGAUGUUUGGUUGCUCCAUUUAAUUUUGUUUUACAAGUUGGGUGGGUUAACGAUUGCAAAUCGGUGAAAAACACUUUUGUUUACAGCAAGUUUGGAUGGAGAAGUGUUAGGAGAGUGUAAAGCAAAAAGAAGCAAAAGGUUUGCUCUAACAUAUUUGGAGGUGAAGAUUCCACUUUGAUUAUUUCUGCUUGUGAUCUCCUUCUUAGCCUACCAAAUGAAAUCAAUCCAAUGAUUAUUUUAAUUCAAGUUAUAGUUGUAAUUGAACAAUGAGCACUAACUUGCUAGUUAAACUAUACUCUCCUCUCCUCUCUAAAUAAGGCAAAAUUGCCGCAAGUUUUUCAUAACCCCAUUCUUAACUUUUUGAAUUCAUGGCCACAAUAAUAUAGCAUCUUGCACAAGAAACUUACUUAGAUUGUGAUCACAAGGGUUCCUUGCUGCUAUAAUUGUCUGAUUUUUCAUCUUUUUUUCCGUUUCAAAUGCAACUCAGUGCUUGGAUGGAGUUGAAGCAUGCAUUCAAUCAAAUUACAAAUAAAAAAGCAAAAUAGAGUUUAGUGAUUCAGAUAGAGUCAGGAACUGUUUCAUAUGAUGGACUGUAAGUAUGUUUAUUGACCAUUAAGAAUUUUGUUUCCGAGAAUAAUACAUAAUUUGAGGGCAUGGUCAAAUUUCACUUCAAUAGAAACAUAAUGUUUCUCUACUUAGAGUUUAUUUUUUUGACCUUGACGCAGGAAAGUUUAUUUCUGUACAAAGACUGGGUUGUUUUUAAAGUUCAGUGAGGUUGAGCCUCCAAGGUAGCGCAUUUUCUCUAUCAAUUUCUUUAUGCAAGCAGAGACCUUCAUUCAUUGCUACAUUGAUUCCUCAAGUCUCAUACAAUAUUCAUAAAUAAGAUUUAGAUUACAGUAGGAGAGUCCAAUAUCUCGUUGAGCUUAUGAGUUGUAAACUGAAUUAUGGUUUUGUAUGGUUCAGUUUUUCGGUUUAACUUUGGACACGUAAUUAGUUUUACCCCCCGGAAAACCAAGAAAAUUUAAAAUUUAUAUAUGGGAAGUGGAAGUGGAACUGAACUGUUUGUGUUUAUUUGAUGAAGUUGCCAGUUUAUAAUAUUUUGUCUUUCUCGUGGACAACCUUUUUUUUUCAGUUUCAUUUAAAAACUGAGAUUAGGUGUUUUUCUAAAGCUUUAAUUGGAUUGGAUUUUGAGGGAUCUUGCUCCUUUCCACUCAUGUGCACGACCCAUUUUGUAAUAGCCCAUUUUCAGUGAAAUCAGAACAGUGAUUUCGAGACCACAAAUCUGAGCUAGAAAGAAAAUUUAUUUUAAUAUUAUUGCAUGGUCCACAUUAUGAUAGAAAUGUUAUAUGAAAAUUCUAAUAAGAAAAUUUUACCGAUUAUGUGUUUAAUUAGGAAAAGGACCAAAUUGCAUAAAAUGCAAAUGUUGGAUUCUAGUAGCUAGAAGGAUCAAAUAGUUAUGGUAUUUAAAACUUGAGGUCUUUAUAUGGUAAUUAGACCAUUAAAGAAAAGUUAGUAGAUAUUUUUGAUGAUUCAUCCAUAGAAAUUUAGAAAAGGGAAAGGAUUAAAUUGGAAAUGAGAAAAAUUAAUGGAUGAUUAAUAAUUAAUAAGAAAUAAAAAUCAUUUUAUAUUAUCUUCUUCCCCCAAACAUUCCAUGAAAACCCUAGGAAAGAGAAAACAAGAUUUCUUGGCUUAAUUGGGUAAGUACUCAAGCCCAUUUUUUAGUCAUUUUUAUAUUUUUAAAACCGGAAUAGUCUAAUCUAUCUAUUUGGGGGAUUGAUUUGAAAAGUUAUCAAAGUAUAAAAAUUUUUCCAUGAAUGAAUAUGUUAAUAAUUUGAAUUUUUUACAAAGUGAAUUUUGAUGAAAACAUGAUUUAGGGACUAAAUUGAAAAGUUAUAAAAGUUAUAGAAAAAUUUUGAAUUUUGUGAAAUACUUGUGCUGUUAAGGUUAUACUAAAAUUUUGGUUAGGCUUGGAAUAAGGAUUAAAUUGCAUGAAGUUCAUUUUCCGAGCCUAGAGAUGAAAUUGAAAUUUAUGAAAAGUUUAGGGCCAAAAUGGUAAUUUUACCUAGAGUGUAAAUUGAAUAUAAUUAAAUAUGAAUUGUACUAAAUUGAUGAUUAAAUUCAUUUAUAUAGAUCCGGAUAACUCAAAUUCGAAGCUAGAUUGAGGAAAAGAAAAAGUUUCAGAUUAGUAUAUUUUUUUAUACGAACUAUUAUCGAGGUAAGUUCGUGUAACUUAAUUAUACAUGUUAAUAUGGUUCAAUUGAAUAUUGUAUUUGAUUUGAAUGUGGUAUAUGUUUAUGUGAUUUAUAUGAAUGUUAUAAUUACAUGAAAUGAUCACAUGAUUGGAAAUGUGUUUAAAAUGUUAAGUUCUGUUGGAAUAAUGAAAAUUGAUGGAUACGUAUGGUUUCCUGUAUGUGAAUGUGAUUCUGUAUAUGUUGCAGACAGGAUUUAGCUUGGACGAGUAAUCCUGAUAUAGCUCUCUCGAGCAUCCUAAUGUAUAGUUCCUGCGAGCAUCUUGAUCGAUAGUGAUUUAGCAUGUGUUGCGCACUAUCGCAGCUCUUUGUGAGCGUUCUGAUAUAAGCUCUUAUGAGUUUCCUGACAUGGCUCACUUGAACUCCCUGUUACCUUAUCCGGUGCUCCUUGAUAUUAACUCUUCGGAGUUAUCUAUUCAAAGCUCUAUGAGCUCUCUGAAUAAAACUCUUAUGAGUUUCCUGUGUAGCCCAGAUAAGUGUCCUUUUACAUGGCUCAACUGAGCAUCCUGAUAUGUGGUUCAAGAGUGUGCUUCUUGAAUAAUUUCCUUAUUGGGUACCCCUAAUUAUAAAUUGAUGAAUUACAGAUUUGUACACCUUGAGUGUACUAUUCGAGUAUCCAUCGAUAUUUCAAUAAUUCAACGGAUAAAAUUCUCGACUUGAGAAAAAAAUGAUGAGUUAAAUAGAAAUAUGCCUUGAAUGCUUUUGAAUUAUUUGAUGAAGGGUUAUAUGAUGAGCUCAUCUAUGCUUAUUUGAUAUACAAAUGUAUUAUAUGACUAACUUGCUUGAUUGAGUAUAUGUGUUUAGGUAAACUUGUCAAAUUGAUGAAAAAUAUGUUAAUUGUAUGCUUAACAUUAAUAAAUGAAAUUGGUAAGUUUUAAUUCCUGUUAUACGAACAUACUAAGCAUUAAAUGCUAACUAGGUUUUUUUUUUCUCUGUUUUAUAGUGCUCGGAAGCUCACGAAGGUAGAAGAUCGGUUAGAGCAUCAUCACACUAUCCACUAGCUUGUUUUGGUAUAAAUAGUAAACUUAUUUUGGCAUAAUGGCAUGUAUAGGUAACUUGGCCAUUGUUGACAUAUAAAUGUGGUUUGUAAACUAGCAAUUGGAAUGACUACUAAUGAUUUGUUUUGGUAUAUAUUAUGACAAAUACCUAUAUUUUAAGUAUAUUGAGUAUGGUUGAUCAAGUUAUGCUUAAUAUAUAUAGUUAAACAAGG
RNAcentral lists this long non-coding RNA (4259 nucleotides) under Gossypium barbadense (sea-island cotton). Its description in RNAcentral is "long non-coding RNA (GBAR_LNC010199)". The record is from RNAcentral. Lineage: Eukaryota; Viridiplantae; Streptophyta; Magnoliopsida; Malvales; Malvaceae.